This 253-nucleotide ribosomal RNA is filed under the name uncultured bacterium. RNAcentral describes it as "partial 16S ribosomal RNA". It matches the Rfam family "Bacterial small subunit ribosomal RNA", at positions 524 to 776 of the family's 1533-position model. The record is from RNAcentral.
UACGUAGGGACCGAGCGUUGUCCGGAAUCAUUGGGCGUAAAGAGCGUGUAGGCGGCCAAUUAAGUCCUGCGUGAAAUCUCGGGGCUCAACCCCGAGCGGUCGUGGGAAACUGGUUGGCUAGAGUGCGGGAGAGGAGAGUGGAAUUCCUGGUGUAGCGGUGAAAUGCGCAGAUAUCAGGAAGAACACCCGUGACGAAGGCGGCUCUCUGGAACGCAACUGACGCUGAGACGCGAAAGCGUGGGGAGCAAACAGG